This 254-nucleotide ribosomal RNA is filed under the name uncultured bacterium. RNAcentral's name for it is "partial 16S ribosomal RNA". It matches the Rfam family "Bacterial small subunit ribosomal RNA", at positions 524 to 776 of the family's 1533-position model. The record is from RNAcentral.
UACAGAGGGUGCAAGCGUUAAUCGGAAUUACUGGGCGUAAAGCGUGCGCAGACGGUUGCGUAAGUCAGAUGUGAAAGCCCCGGGCUCAACCUGGGAAUUGCAUUUGAGACUGCGUAGCUAGGGUGCGGAAGAGGGAAGCGGAAUUUCCGGUGUAGCGGUGAAAUGCGUAGAUAUCGGAAGGAACACCAGUGGCGAAAGCGGCUUCCUGGUCCAGCACCGACGUCAGGCACGAAAAGCGUGGGGGAGCAAACAGG